ACUAGUUUGAUAGUCCUUUAUAUCUAUCAAUACUCCUUGGGAAGCCUCCGCCACACGGCAGGAGGCAUUUUUU
Molecule: non-coding RNA, 73 nt
Organism: Neisseria gonorrhoeae FA 1090
Lineage: Bacteria; Pseudomonadati; Pseudomonadota; Betaproteobacteria; Neisseriales; Neisseriaceae
Rfam family: Neisseria sigma-E sRNA
Source: Rfam